UACGAAGGGGGCUAGCGUUGCUCGGAAUCACUGGGCGUAAAGCGCACGUAGGCGGAUUUCUAAGUCAGGGGUGAAAUCCUGGAGCUCAACUCCAGAACUGCCUUUGAUACUGGGAAUCUCGAGUCCGGGAGAGGUGAGUGGAACUGCGAGUGUAGAGGUGGAAUUCGUAGAUAUUCGCAAGAACACCAGUGGCGAAGGCGGCUCACUGGCCCGGUACUGACGCUGAGGUGCGAAAGCGUGGGGAGCAAACAGG
Molecule: ribosomal RNA, 253 nt
Filed under: uncultured bacterium
Lineage: Bacteria
Description: partial 16S ribosomal RNA
Rfam family: Bacterial small subunit ribosomal RNA
Source: RNAcentral